Molecule: ribosomal RNA, 490 nt
Filed under: uncultured bacterium
Lineage: Bacteria
Description: partial 16S ribosomal RNA
Rfam family: Bacterial small subunit ribosomal RNA
Source: RNAcentral
AUUGAACGCUGGCGGCAGGCCUAACAUAUGCAAGUCGAACGGUAACAGGAAACAGCUUGCUGUUUCGCUGACGAGUGGCGGACGGGUGAGUAAUGUCUGGGAAACUGCCUGAUGGAGGGGGAUAACUACUGGAAACGGUAGCUAAUACCGCAUAACGUCGCAAGACCAAAGAGGGGGACCUUCGGGCCUCUUGCCAUCGGAUGUGCCCAGAUGGGAUUAGCUAGUAGGUGGGGUAACGGCUCACCUAGGCGACGAUCCCUAGCUGGUCUGAGAGGAUGACCAGCCACACUGGAACUGAGACACGGUCCAGACUCCUACGGGAGGCAGCAGUGGGGAAUAUUGCACAAUGGGCGCAAGCCUGAUGCAGCCAUGCCGCGUGUAUGAAGAAGGCCUUCGGGUUGUAAAGUACUUUCAGCGGGGAGGAAGGGAGUAAAGUUAAUACCUUUACUCAUUGACGUUACCCGCAGAGGAAGCACCGGCUAACUCCGUG